Molecule: long non-coding RNA, 1388 nt
Filed under: Monodelphis domestica (gray short-tailed opossum)
Lineage: Eukaryota; Metazoa; Chordata; Mammalia; Didelphimorphia; Didelphidae
Description: lncRNA (ENSMODG00000032062.2)
Source: RNAcentral
AUGAAUAUAGGGGAUAGACAAUUACUCACAUACACCCAUGGAGAAUAUAGGAGUAGUCCUAUGUGUGAGAAAGGCUAAGUCCUCCUACAUAUGGAUAGAAAGAAUAUAGGCACAAUCAAAGAGCCGACUCUAGAGGAAUCCUAUAUUUGAGUAUAGACUAGAUGCAAAUGAAUAGAGACUACAAGAGGACUCCGGUAUGGCUAUAUAGAGGACGGAGAAGUUAUUUAUAGGAAGGUAUGAAGUGUCAGUGAAUCUGUAGAGUAUGCCCGUACCCCCAUAUAUGGAUAGAGAGAGGAAAUACAUGAGUACUUCGGGAAGCGGAAGGACUCGGGGACGUGAAAAUGCAAAUGAAACCCAAAUGGCUUUAUUAGGGGGACAGAGGGAUGGACACACAGGCUGAUUGGGGCGGAGGUACCGCUCCAGUUUCGGGUCCUCCUCCCAGCCUGUGGAGUGUCUGGAAUGGUUGCACAGUCACAUAAAGGCGAAUUGUCGGGUUCUAUAGGGGGCGGGGAAGGAGGAAGGGGGUUGCUGGCGCGUGUGGUACAGUUGAAAUGAAGGGACCCCGAUGGGCCAACGGUUAGUGGGACGUCACAGCGCGAGGCCAGUGGGCGGGGUGGAGUAGGGUGACGUGAUGGUUCUUGUCUCACAAAGGCGGGCGCUACGUCACAGAACCUCACCCCUCAGCGGGCAGUCAACUUUGCCCACACUCAGCUCUGCUCAGCUCAUAUUCCUCGAGUGGAGGGAAGAGGUGGAGGGUGGAGAUCUGGCAGAGUGAAAAAGUCCAGGGGCCUGCCCAAUGCCCACCUGAGGCUCAUACUCCUUCCUAAACCUGGGUUUCAAGGAACCACAAGAUAACAAGACACACAAGAAACCUCCAAUCUACUUUAGAUAGAAGAAAAUGGUCCCAGGCUGGACCUCAUCAAACCUUCACCCUACACAGCCUUCGACUGUAAAGGAAACCAAAAAGAUGUGCCGCCGAGAGCAUCACUGCCCUAAGGGCAGGUCCAAAAGGAUUCAAGCUAGUCCUAAUAAGCAGAAGAGCUCUCGGAAGGCCUCUUCUAGAAGCCGGUUGUCAUCUUCACUGAGAUUUGGGCAAACUUCUCAUAGACCUAGCAGGGUUCUUCGAGCCAGGAGGAGAGAGGCUCUUCCACCACCUUUCCAGAUCAACCUUAAGGGACUCACCAAGAUCAUCUCCCUGCUGCAGAUUGCCUAAAGAAGGAGGGGAUGAGGCCAAGAACCAAAUGAAGUUGUCAUUAAAAUGCCUCCACUAUCCAAUAACAGUGUCAGCAGUAACUGUGCAGCAAUUCCAGCCACUGACUGAUGAAAGCAAAACCAGAAAAGAUGUGACCUAUAAUAAAAGCUGCUUCAACCUCCCUUGUUCGGGCCUG